Long non-coding RNA from Xiphias gladius (swordfish), 1649 nucleotides. RefSeq lists it as uncharacterized. Lineage: Eukaryota; Metazoa; Chordata; Actinopteri; Istiophoriformes; Xiphiidae. The record is from RefSeq and is a predicted model, not a curated record. The transcript is spliced from 10 exons.
UUUUAAAGAUCUGUGUGAUCCGAUGGUGCUGGAGCAGUUUAAGAUUGCAUUCCACCUGAGGUGCCACUCAUAUUGACCGCACUUGGCACCAAUAAGAGCAAUAAACCGCCAGAUUUUGCAGUUCAACAGCCACACUUCAAGUAUUGACCCUUCCCACUUCCACAUACCACUGUGAAUGCAGCAUAGUGUCUGCUUGCCAUGGUAUCUGCUCCACCAGGACAACCUGUGGCAUUAGCGUGCAGCUCUUUCCCUGGGUUUUUCACAAGAAAAAGUUACCUUGGAAGCAAAUGAUGAGUCUAAAGACCUAUGGUACAACAUUUACAAAACCCUGGAUGCCUUUCAGUUUCUAUGCAUACCUGUUAAACAUUAAUUCAGAGACAACCCAGCCUCAACCAAAGAGACUGAAAUUGCCCAGGCAGGACUUGGAAAAAGGCAUCUCACCAUGUCCGGGGAUAGGAGCCAGGAAGAGAUGCCAUUGAAUUCUGAAGUAUGCCAAAAGCACAAUGCCGAAAAUGUGCAAAGUGAGUUUUCCUUAGCAGAUUUUGGCCCUUCAUGUUCAAGAGUGCAUGGAGUCUCAGUCAGCAGUAGAGGACAUUGAGAAAGUUCCGUAUUCUAUCUUUUUCUUGAAAUUCACACCACAGUUCCUAGAGACCCAUGCUAGCAUGUUUGGAUAAAGGAGAGAAAGAUCUCUGGAUGGCUGAUUCAACUGCUUUGAGCCAGGACUAUACAGAGGAACAGAAAAAAAAAAUGUUGAUGAUGUAUGAGAAACCAUUUGUCGAAGAGUUGACGUGAAGAAACAGUUCGACAUCCAAAUCUCAAGAACAAACAUUCUGGGGAGAGGCCUGCUGCAGUGGCAUCGUCAAAAAAAAAAAAAAAAAUUUCUCACAGAAAUGGUGGAAGAGUUGUUUCUUUGAAGGACCACAACAUCAGAGGAGCCCACAAUACUCUCUGAUUGACUUUGACAGUGGCUUCUACAGGACUGGUGGAGAGGUUUUAACUGUUAGUUUGGUGUAAGUUCGGCUGGCUCCUGCCUUUUCCAGCCCCUGGACUUGCAGUUAACUCUGUAGUGGGUAGAUAAAUCCAACAGCUCUCAACAGUGAUGCAGUGGCUGAUGUCCAGUUGUGAGAGUUAAUUGACCAGCUGAAUAUCACGGGCAUGUAGAUGACAAAGAUGGACCACAUCCCAUCACACCUGCCAGGUUUCUGCAGGCGAUCACAAGCCAAGGUCACAUUCCACUUAUUCCCUCAGAUAAGAAGGAUUGCUGUAAUGACCAAGUUUAACCAUGACUGCAUUGUAGACUUUGGGCAUCACAAUGUCUGUUACCCCGUUGUGUCAGCAUGUGCCAAUACUUUUGUGAUAACUGUAAGACAUAUGAGGUCCUAUGACCAAUUCCAAAGGUUCUAAUGGAGGCUUUUCAUCAACUGCUUCUGUUUUUCAAGAUUAAACUAAAACCUAAAUGUUUACUUGAUAAAUGUUUAGCAGCAACUACUACUGUUUUACUACUCUAUGACAAAAAUGUCUCAGUUAUACUUUGUUCCAAGGUCUUAUCAUAUUGGGAAGGAGGAAUUAGUCAAGUAAACAUAAAAAUAUUGCAUUGUUUAAUGGCAGCACUGUUGAACAUUUAUAAAUGAUAGAGAAAUGUUAAUGUU